UCUGGGUAGUGCGAUCGCAUGCUGUUGCUUGUUCACGGUCUUGGUUACGAUCAGGGCAGUGGUCAGCUCGGCGUAGUGGUUGUGCAACCUUUCAGCCGUGUCUGUGUUUUAUUAAACAGGUGUCGAUGGGUUAAUGAGUAUUGUAUCUUAUUGACCUGUUGGCAUGCUUUCGGAUGCCUUUAAACGGGUGUCGGGGGCGGACGGCAUCUUUACUUUGAACAAAUUUGAGUGCUCAAAGCAGGCCUAUGCGCCUGAAAAUUCUUGCAUGGAAUAAUGAAAUAGGACUUCGGUUCUAUUUUGUUGGUUUUCGGAUCCGAAGUAAU
Molecule: ribosomal RNA, 323 nt
Filed under: Schistosoma japonicum
Lineage: Eukaryota; Metazoa; Platyhelminthes; Trematoda; Strigeidida; Schistosomatidae
Description: SSU rRNA
Rfam family: Eukaryotic small subunit ribosomal RNA (bases 72-323)
Source: RNAcentral